Molecule: long non-coding RNA, 2225 nt
Organism: Parus major (Great Tit)
Lineage: Eukaryota; Metazoa; Chordata; Aves; Passeriformes; Paridae
Source: Ensembl
CUUCUUUAGAUAAUCCUGAUUUUUAAGGCUGCUGUGGGAGUGCUGGAGUUGUAAAGCAGAUAUAUAGGAGCUGCAAUAAUUUCAUAGCCCUUCUUUCCCUCUGGCUUUUGGGGAAUUACCCAUCAUAACAGGAGUAUCCAGAGCAGCUGUGGCUGCCCUUGGGUCCCUGGAAGUGUCCAAGGCCAGGUUGGAUGGGGCUUGGAGCAUCCUGGGAUAGUGGGAGAUGUCCCUGCUCAUGGCAGGAGGUUGGAAUGGGAUGAUCUUUAAGAUUCCUUCCAACCCAAACCAUUCUGGGAUUCUGUGAAAGACAAGAAACUAUCUUACUCUGUAAAUAUUCAUAUACAGGAAACAUCCAGUGAGUUUUCCUCCCCUGCCUAAGCCAUGUUAUAUAAUGCCCCAAGGGAAAAAAAAACACAAAAACCAAAAAAUAAAACCAAAACUGCCCCACUCCCCCCUAAAAAAAAAACAAAACAACAAUAAAUAAAAGAACUCAAACCAAUCAAAAAAUCCAAAGAAAAAAAUCCAGGAUGAAGAUCACCCAGAAACAGUCUGAUUUUUAUUAGUGCCAAAACCCCCAUUAACUGCUGGUAUAUAUAUAUAUGUAUAUAUAUAUAUAUAUGUGCUGAAUAUGAAAUAUCCAGUAGAGGAGAUUCAGGGGUGUAGGAGCAGAUGACCUUUUAGGGUCCCUUCCAACACAAAGUUUUCCAUAAUUCUAUGAUCCUAAAGCCACAGGGGUGAAGUGAAGGCCUCCAAGAGGUGUCUCAGGGUAGAAAUCUCAGCUUUUCAAGGAUAAAUUUACAGGGGGUUUUAGAAACAGCAAGACUCCGAGGAUGUGCACGGAAAACAAGCCAUGGGCACCUUCAGCCACGGUUUUCAGGCCCAAAUCCAGAAGCUGAAGUCAGAGAAGCUGAAAUUAAAUUAAAUUAAGAUGCCAGCCAGCCCCUGCUCACAUCCCUGCAGCUCCAGCACAUCUGGAAGAGGGAAGAUGGCAGGGACAGAUGACACGGAGCCGAAGGAAAGCAGUGCAGGAAAGAGGGAACAUUGCUCACAGGAGUUAUUUAUGAUCCACCAGGAAAGCAGUGCAGGAAAGAGGGAACAUUGCUCACAGGAGUUAUUUAUGAUCCACCAGGAAAGCGAGGAGAUACACAGCCUGGGACUCCCUGGGGAUCUGUCCCAGGCCUGGUACUGCUCAAAAUAUUUUUUUAAUAAUUACUUGCAUGAAUAGAAAAUUUGCUUCUUACAGCUGCAAAUGAUACCGAGCCGGGAGGGACUCGAAGCUCUUUGGAGGAUGGGCUGGGACUUCAAAACAAUCCUGACGCAGUAGAGAAUUAGCCUGGAAAAAAAAAACAACAAACUAGUCUGCAAUUUGGGAGAAACAAAGGGAAAAUGCUGCUUGUGUAAGAGGAGCUGGGCUGCAGAGCACGGGCUGGGAAGGGAAUGGGGGAGCAGGGAUGUGGCAGAGGUGUCACAGCCCUGCCUGGGAUGAGCAGAACUCCUUAUUCUGCAGGAAAAGCAGCAAAGCAUAGGCAAGGGCAGGUGAGUGUUGCCUGCAGGACACACAGAGUGGUAAUUUAGGUCCUUGUGGCUCCAUGGAUCCUCACCAGCAGUGGGUUGUCUCCACAGAUAUGAGGAUUUGGGGGGUUGUGGGCUGGAGGUGGAUCCAGGCUGGUGGUCCAGGGGUUGAUCAAUCACAGAAGCUGGAAAAAGAAAUCAAAACAAACUCACCCAAACUACAAAACCCCCUCAAACUCUCCCAAAAUAAUCAAAGGACUUGAAGUUAUUUAUUGCAGAGAAGACCAUAUUUGGGCAAGAGCUACCUUGCUAUCUUCGACCUUUUACAAAUAUUUAAGGCAGUCUGUUCCCUUAUAUUUGAAUAUUUACAGUGGCCUGGAGGGACAGGACAAGGAGAAAUGGAUUCACGCUGCCAGAGGGCAGGGUUAGAUGGGAUACUGGGGAGGAAUUCUUCCCUGUGAGGGUGCUGAGGGGUUGGAAUAGAAUUCCCAGAGGAGCUGUGGCUGUCCCUGGAUCCCUGGAAGUGUUCAAGGCCAGGUUGGACAGGGUUUGGAGAAGCCUGGGAUAGUGGAAGGUGUCCCUGCCAUGGCAGGGGGUGGCAGUGGAUGAGCUUUAAGGUCCCUUCCAACCCAAACCAUUCUGAGAUUCUCAGAUUUAAUGAGAAGGAAAUUAGUUGUUCUCUUCCUCUCUGUGACCAGCAGUGAUGGGCUUAU